GCUCUAGUAGUAUACCAGAUUACCCUGGUCUUGUAAACCAGAAAUGAAGGCCCAACCCUUCCUAGAACA
Molecule: transfer RNA, 69 nt
Filed under: Ratufa bicolor melanopepla
Lineage: Eukaryota; Metazoa; Chordata; Mammalia; Rodentia; Sciuridae
Description: tRNA-Thr
Rfam family: tRNA
About the family: Transfer RNA (tRNA) molecules are approximately 80 nucleotides in length.
Source: RNAcentral